RNAcentral lists this ribosomal RNA (585 nucleotides) under uncultured bacterium. Its description in RNAcentral is "partial 16S ribosomal RNA". It matches the Rfam family "Bacterial small subunit ribosomal RNA", at positions 356 to 1375 of the family's 1533-position model. The record is from RNAcentral.
UGGGGAAUUUGGACAAUGGGCGAAAGCCUGAUCCAGCAAUGCCGCGUGUGUGAAGAAGGCCUUCGGGUUGUAAAGCACUUUUGUCCGGAAAGAAAUCCUUGGCUCUAAUACAGUCGGGGGAUGACGGUACCGGAAGAAUAAGCACCGGCUAACUACGUGCCAGCAGCCGCGGUAAUACGUAGGGUGCAAGCGUUAAUCGGAAUUACUGGGCGUAAAGCGUGCGCAGGCGGUUUGCUAAGACCGAUGUGAAAUCCCCGGGCUCAACCUGGGAACUGCAUUGGUGACUGGCAGGCUAGAGUAUGGCAGAGGGGGGUAGAAUUCCACGUGUAGCAGUGAAAUGCGUAGAGAUGUGGAGGAAUACCGAUGGCGAAGGCAGCCCCCUGGGCCAACACUGACGCUCAUGCACGAAAGCGUGGGGGAGCAAACAGGAUUAGAUACCCUGGUAGUCCACGCCCUAAACGAUGUCAACUAGUUGUUGGGGAUUCAUUUCCUUAGUAACGUAGCUAACGCGUGAAGUUGACCGCCUGGGGAGUACGGUCGCAAGAUUAAAACUCAAAGGAAUUGACGGGGUCAUAGCUGUUUCCU